Molecule: ribosomal RNA, 353 nt
Filed under: uncultured bacterium
Lineage: Bacteria
Description: bacterial SSU rRNA
Rfam family: Bacterial small subunit ribosomal RNA
Source: RNAcentral
CUAUGCGCCUUGCCAGCCCGCUCAGUCAGAGUUUGAUCCUGGCUCAGGACGAACGCUGGCGGCGUGCUUAACACAUGCAAGUCGAACGGAAAGGCUCCAGCUUGCUGGAGUACUCGAGUGGCGAACGGGUGAGUAACACGUGGGUAAUCUGCCCUGCACUCUGGGAUAAGCCUGGGAAACUGGGUCUAAUACUGGAUAUGACCUUUCUCCUUAUGGGGUUUGGUGGAAAGUUUUUCGGUGUAGGAUGAGCCCGCGGCCUAUCAGCUUGUUGGUGGGGUGAUGCCUACCAAGGCGACGACGGGUAGCCGGCCUGAGAGGGUGAUCGGCCACAUUGGGACUGAGAUACGGCCCAG